Molecule: ribosomal RNA, 178 nt
Filed under: uncultured bacterium
Lineage: Bacteria
Description: partial 16S ribosomal RNA
Rfam family: Bacterial small subunit ribosomal RNA
Source: RNAcentral
GGGGAAUAUUGCACAAUGGGCGAAAGCCUGAUGCAGCAACGCCGCGUGAGCGAUGAAGGCCUUCGGGUCGUAAAGCUCUGUCCUCAAGGAAGAUAAUGACGGUACUUGAGGAGGAAGCCCCGGCUAACUACGUGCCAGCAGCCGCGGUAAUACGUAGGGGGCUAGCGUUAUCCGGAUU